Molecule: ribosomal RNA, 527 nt
Filed under: Cryptosporidium hominis
Lineage: Eukaryota; Apicomplexa; Conoidasida; Eucoccidiorida; Cryptosporidiidae
Description: partial 18S ribosomal RNA
Rfam family: Eukaryotic small subunit ribosomal RNA
Source: RNAcentral
GCGAAAAAAAAAAAAUAAUUGGCGGGGCAAGUCGGGUGCUCCGCAGCCCCGGUAAUUCCAGCUCCAAGAGGGGUAUAAUAAAGGUGUUGCAGCUAAAAAGCUCGUAGUUGGAUUUCUGUUAAUAAUUUAUAAUAAAAUAUUUUUAUGAAUAUUUAUAUUAUAUUAACAUCAUUCAUAAUACUAUUUUUUUUUUUAGUAUAUGAAAUUUUACUUUGAGAAAAUUAGAGUGCUUAAAGCAGGCAUAUGCCUUGAAUACUCCAGCAUGGAAUAAUAUUAAAGAUUUUUAUCUUUUUUAUUGGUUCUAAGAUAAGAAUAAUGAUUAAUAGGGACAGUUGGGGGCAUUUGUAUUUAACAGUCAGAGGUGAAAUUCUUAGAUUUGUUAAAGACAAACUAAUGCGAAAGCAUUUGCCAAGGAUGUUUUCAUUAAUCAAGAACGAAAGUUAGGGGAUCGAAGACGAUCAGAUACCGUCGUAGUCUUAACCAUAAACUAUGCCAACGGAGGAUAAAAGAGCACCCACCUCCACAAG